CCCCAGCCCGGUUCAGGGGUUUUACUUCUUCAAUCCCAAGAAUAUGGGUCAUAGUUCUCUUCCGCCUCCCGAUACGGUGACGCCUCCUCCUUCUAACACCGUGUUCACAUCCGCGGCUUCCUGAUCGGAGGAGCCAAGCAAGAAGAUCCGGAAACCUUAUACUAUUACCAAGUCUAGAGAGAGCUGGACUGAGCUGGAGCACGAUAAGUUUCUCGAAGCUCUUCAAUUAUUUGAUCGUGAUUGGAAGAAGAUUGAAGCAUUUGCUGGGUCCAGAUCCGUAGCCAUGCGGAAAAGUACUUCCUAAAAGUUCAGAGACAAGUGAACAUGUUCUUCCUCCUCGGUCAAAAAGGAGAGCAGCUCAUGCAUACCCACAAAAGGCUCCCAAAAAUGCUACUGUUGUACCCCAAGUUGUUGGACCAUUUCAAUCUUCAUCUGCCUUACAUAACUCCGGUUAUACGUGCAGGCCAGAUUCAUCGUCAAUGCAUGGGAAUCCAAUUGCCACUUCAGCUUUGUCUUCCUGUAGUUGCAACUCUGUGCCACCCAUCUUUGAACCCCAAGUGACC
Long non-coding RNA from Hibiscus syriacus, 563 nucleotides. RefSeq lists it as uncharacterized. The transcript has 4 exons. NCBI's taxonomy places the organism in Eukaryota, Viridiplantae, Streptophyta, Magnoliopsida, Malvales, Malvaceae. The record is from RefSeq and is a predicted model, not a curated record.